RNAcentral lists this ribosomal RNA (480 nucleotides) under uncultured bacterium. Its description in RNAcentral is "partial 16S ribosomal RNA". It matches the Rfam family "Bacterial small subunit ribosomal RNA", at positions 28 to 523 of the family's 1533-position model. The record is from RNAcentral.
GACGAACGCUGGCGGCGUGCCUAACACAUGCAAGUCGAGCGAGUGAAUCUCCUUCGGGAGUGAAGCUAGCGGCGGACGGGUGAGUAACACGUGGGCAACCUGCCUCAUAGAGGGGAAUAGCCUUUCGAAAGGAAGAUUAAUACCGCAUAAGAUUGUAGCUUCGCAUGAAGUAGCAAUUAAAGGAGCAAUCCACUAUGAGAUGGGCCCGCGGCGCAUUAGCUAGUUGGCGAGGUAACGGCUCACCAAGGCGACGAUGCGUAGCCGACCUGAGAGGGUGAUCGGCCACAUUGGGACUGAGACACGGCCCAGACUCCUACGGGAGGCAGCAGUGGGGAAUAUUGCACAAUGGGGGAAACCCUGAUGCAGCAACGCCGCGUGAGUGAUGACGGCCUUCGGGUUGUAAAGCUCUGUCUUCAGGGACGAUAAUGACGGUACCUGAGGAGGAAGCCACGGCUAACUACGUGCCAGCAGCCGCGGUAA